AUUUACAGAGUAAAUGUACUGUUUAAUAUUAAAGAAAUGAUUCAGUAUUUUAGUAGCAAAGUGCUUUCAGGUUAUUAACUAGCAUUAUGAUUUCUGUUCUACUGGUGUCACAAAUGAAGUUCUGCAGGCUGGUCAUUACCAAUUACUAAUAGAUUGAGCCUUAAAAAGGCUCAUUUUAAUAACUUCUUACUAUCCAGUUUUAAGUUUUUCAGUGCUGAGGGAAGCCUUGACACUCAGCAUUGACCACUGAGCAUUUUCCAGCGUUUAAAAUAUAUUGCUUAAGCAGGGUUCUUACCAGUAGUAAGGUCUCCAAGACUGUUGAUCCUUAUGCAUUAAUUUAUCAUUUGUAUCUUACAUAUAAAAUUUUUCUUAAUCAGUGUGUGAUGCACAGUGAUACAUGUGGGUGACUCCAGCUGGAAAUGAAUCCAGUGGCAUUUAGGAAAGAUGCUCUUUUAGAACAAGUUUGCACACUGGAAGGGGGGUGGAAGGAGGAGCAGAGCAGGGAAAUAGCAAUAAGGUGUACCACUGUAGGAAAACAUGCUUGUGAGUAAUUUGAAUGUAAAACUGGCACAGAUUUUUCAAGAUAAAAUUUUGUCAAUGUAUUUUCAAAA
Molecule: long non-coding RNA, 611 nt
Organism: Pezoporus flaviventris
Lineage: Eukaryota; Metazoa; Chordata; Aves; Psittaciformes; Psittacidae
Exons: 2
Source: RefSeq, a predicted model, not a curated record